This 84-nucleotide small nuclear RNA is filed under the name Tupaia belangeri (northern tree shrew). RNAcentral describes it as "U4 spliceosomal RNA (ENSTBEG00000021112.1)". It matches the Rfam family "U4 spliceosomal RNA", at positions 1 to 83 of the family's 138-position model. Rfam says of the family: U4 small nuclear RNA (U4 snRNA) is a component of the major U2-dependent spliceosome. The structure of U4 snRNA from yeast and human has been reported. U4 snRNA presents a k-turn RNA motif in the 5p-SL related to recognition of Snu13 protein. The record is from RNAcentral. Lineage: Eukaryota; Metazoa; Chordata; Mammalia; Scandentia; Tupaiidae.
AGCUUUGUGCAGUGGCAGUAUCGUAGCCAAUGAGGUUUAUCUGAGGUGUGAUUAUUGUUCAUUGAAAAAAAAACUGUAAAGAGC